Molecule: long non-coding RNA, 469 nt
Organism: Oncorhynchus tshawytscha (Chinook salmon)
Lineage: Eukaryota; Metazoa; Chordata; Actinopteri; Salmoniformes; Salmonidae
Source: Ensembl
GGUUGAAGCUACAAUAGAAGCUGACAGGUUGAAGCUACAAUAGAAGCUGACAGGUUGAAGCUACAAUAGAAGCUGACAGGUUGAAGCUACAAUAGAAGCUGACAGGUUGAAGCUACAAUAGAAGCUGACAGGUUGAAGCUACAAUAGAAGCUGACAGGUUGAAGCUACAGAUUGAAGCUACGAUAGAAGCUGACAGGUUGAAGCUACGAUAGAAGCUGACAGGUUGAAGCUUCAAUAGAAGCUGACAGGUUGAAGCUACAAUAGAAGCUGACAGGUUGAAGCUACAAUAGAAGCUGACAGGUUGAAGCUACAAUAGAAGCUGACAGGUUGAAGCUACAAUAGAAGCUGAAGCUGACAGGUUGAAGCUACAAUAGAAGCUGACAGGUUGAAGCUACAAUAGAAGCUGACAGGUUGAAGCUACAAUAGAAGCUGACAGGUUGAAGCUACAAUAGAAGCUGACAGGUUGAAG